RNAcentral lists this ribosomal RNA (497 nucleotides) under uncultured bacterium. Its description in RNAcentral is "partial 16S ribosomal RNA". It matches the Rfam family "Bacterial small subunit ribosomal RNA", at positions 28 to 507 of the family's 1533-position model. The record is from RNAcentral.
GAUGAACGCUGGCGGCGUGCCUAAUACAUGCAAGUCGAGCGAACAGACGAGGAGCCUGCUCCUCUGACGUUAGCGGCGGACGGGUGAGUAACACGUGGAUCACCUACCUAUAAGACUGGGAUAACUUCGGGAAACCGGAGCUAAUACCGGAUAAUAUAUUGAACCGCAUGGUUCAAUAGUGAAAGACGGUUUUGCUGUCACUUAUAGAUGGAUACGGGCGGCAUUAGCUAGUUGGUAAGGUAACGGCUUACCAAGGCAAGGAGGCGUAUACGACUGGGCAGGCGGGUAGGCCGCCUGGGAGCGGGACCGGGGACCAGAGUCCUACGGGAGGGAGCAGUAGGGAAUGGUAGGCAAUGGGCGAAAGCCUGACGGAGCAACGCCGCGUGAGUGAUAAAGGUCUUCGGAUCGUAAAACCCGGUUACUGGGGAAGAACAAAUGUGUAAGUAGACAUGCCGGUCUUGACGGUACCUAAUCAGAAAGCCACGGCUAACUACGUG